ACCGAGGCAGGAUAUGGGUGUUUUAAGGGCUUCAAGCUGGUUAAAACAACAGAAAAGGAAAAAAGAAAAGCAAGACAUUUUUCAGAUGGAGGCCCCCAAGAUCUUUUGUGAGUGAAUCAGCCUCAUUACUGCCAAGCUGGAUGCCAGGACUUGGGCAGGUGAGAGAAGCCACAAGCCCAACACACUGCCCUUAAAAAAUACAUCCCAG
Molecule: long non-coding RNA, 208 nt
Filed under: Gallus gallus (chicken)
Lineage: Eukaryota; Metazoa; Chordata; Aves; Galliformes; Phasianidae
Source: RNAcentral